UAUUUAUUCGCAGAUUUGAAACAUAUUUGCCACGACUUAGCUUCCCAGUACAAUCAAAGGGGAAAGUGGCAACGGCAGAGAAGCUUCAUCAGAUCUUCAAGGUCUACAAUUUGAUCAGGAGAAAAAAAAGUAGAUACUGGUUUUUAAGUGGCCUGGCAUAUGUUUGCUUUUCACCUUUGAAAAGUUUUCCAAAACCUAAAAUAAAGGGGUUUUAUUUCAGAUCACGCCAUCACGUUUCUUCUCAUCCACGGACCUCAGAACUUUUUCACCCUGAUUUUGAGGAGGAGCAACCAGUCAUGAGUUGAUGGGACCAGCAAGAUCCAGGGGGACCCCAUGACAGCACAGCUGGGCCUCUAGGGUAUCACCUGCCCACAGCAGAGAGGCAGAGAGUACCUGGCGGGUACCCCGCUUUCUUUCAACAACUUUUUUCCAGGCUAGAAAAGAAAAACCCAACCACAAGUUCUCAUCUUUUCAACAGUGUGGGCUGAGUGGUCAUUCCUCGCCACUAGGGGGCUUCAUGUCCUUCCAAGACUCUUUUUGCUCUCAUAUUAAGACCAGCACCAUCAUACCUCCAGGCAACAUCAAACAGCAUCUCAGAUGACAUCAGAUGAGGGGGCCUCUCCCAUCUAGUGCCACUGUGCAUUCUCACCUGCUGGGAAGAGCUGGGCAUCAGGAAGAGGGUGUACUUGAUACUUUGUUUCAUGGCCAGGAAGUUUGGUUGCCGGGCUUUCCACAUAUUGCCGUCAGAGCCUGACAGCAGGGCUGCCCUCAUGAGCUGAUCUUCUCCCCCCUUAUCGCUGCUGUCCUACAGCCCAGAGGACCUGCGUGCCACGAAGGAUCCAUCAAAUCCUCCCGGACACUGUCUGAGAGGCAACAGAGCUGGAUCCAAGAUCAUCAAUGAACACCCUGAGCGUUUCCUUAAAGGUCAGGCUCAUGACGUCCUUUUCAAAGCUAUCUAUGAGUUCCCAUCGUGGCGCAGUGGAAACGAAUCCGACUAGGAACCACGAAGUUGUGGGUUCGAUCCCUGGCCUCGCUUCGCUGGUUAAGGAUCUGGCAUUGCUGUGGCUGUGGUGUAGGCCGGCGGCUACAGCUCGGAUUAGACUCCUAGCCUGGGAACCUCCAUAUGCUGCAUGUGCGGCCCUAAAAAGACAAAAAAAAAAAAAA
Molecule: long non-coding RNA, 1164 nt
Filed under: Sus scrofa (pig)
Lineage: Eukaryota; Metazoa; Chordata; Mammalia; Artiodactyla; Suidae
Description: lncRNA (ENSSSCG00005014927.1)
Source: RNAcentral